Molecule: ribosomal RNA, 272 nt
Filed under: uncultured bacterium
Lineage: Bacteria
Description: partial 16S ribosomal RNA
Rfam family: Bacterial small subunit ribosomal RNA
Source: RNAcentral
AAGUUUGAUGGCGACCGGCGCACGGUGAGUAACACGUAUCCAACCUGCCGAUGACUCGGGGAUAGCCUUUCGAAAGAAAGAUUAAUACCCGAUGGCAUAGUUCUUCCGCAUGGUAGAACUAUUAAAGAAUUUCGGUCAUCGAUGGGGAUGCGUUCCAUUAGGUUGUUGGCGGGGUAACGGCCCACCAAGCCUUCGAUGGAUAGGGGUUCUGAGAGGAAGGUCCCCCACAUUGGAACUGAGACACGGUCCAAACUCCUACGGGAGGCAGCAUG